GGUUGAAAUGCCCAGAAAUGGUGUUCAACCUAAUACAUCGACGUAUAAUACUAUCAUUGCCAUGUUUUGCCAUCAUUCGCAAGAGGAAAGAGCGCUAGAAUUUUUAAGGGACCUGGAAAAUUCACCAUAUUGUAAACCUGAUGUCCAGUCAUACUUUCCGCUGCUCAAGUUGUGCUUUAAAGUUGGGAAGACAGAUGAAUAUUCACCAUAUUGUAAACCUGAUGUUCAGUCAUACUUUCCUCUGCUCAAGUUGUGCUUUAAAGUUGGGAAGACAGAUGAUUUCCUGAAUAAGUUGGUGAAUGACAUGGUUAAUAAGCAUCAUCUAAGUCUUGAUCUAUCAAGUUAUACAC
RNAcentral lists this long non-coding RNA (350 nucleotides) under Nicotiana benthamiana. RNAcentral describes it as "long non-coding RNA (NBEN_LNC010623)". Lineage: Eukaryota; Viridiplantae; Streptophyta; Magnoliopsida; Solanales; Solanaceae. The record is from RNAcentral.